RNAcentral lists this long non-coding RNA (377 nucleotides) under Lonchura striata (white-rumped munia). Its description in RNAcentral is "domestica (Bengalese finch) lncRNA (ENSLSDG00000015980.1)". Lineage: Eukaryota; Metazoa; Chordata; Aves; Passeriformes; Estrildidae. The record is from RNAcentral.
CGGAGAGACCCCCGCGCUCCCGGAGCGGGGCGCGGCGUGCGCGAACUCUUCGGGAGUCGCUGCUCAUUUCCUCUCCUUCUCAUGCUCCUUGUAGUUAUAUCUGGGUUGUGCUGUAUCACGCACGCCACGUGCCAUUGCAGCCUGCGUGUGGUUUAUAAAUAGCUCCGUGUACACUGGGGACACGCUCGCUCAGGGGUGUUUCACUGUCUGGGGCGCGCUGCGGCCUCUCCCGGCCACAUUUAAGGAUCUGGAGCAUUAAAUAACAUUAAGAAUUAACAGAUGCCAAAGGAGUCGCAUUCCUUUUUCCGUGGGAAGGAGCUGACAGUGCACACAGGAACCAGUUACAGGCAGUCACUGAUUCGUUUGCUGCUUGAGUG